Leopardus geoffroyi (Geoffroy's cat) is the source of this 925-nucleotide long non-coding RNA. RefSeq lists it as uncharacterized. The transcript has 2 exons. The record is from RefSeq and is a predicted model, not a curated record. Lineage: Eukaryota; Metazoa; Chordata; Mammalia; Carnivora; Felidae.
UCUCUCUCUCUCUCUCAAAAUAAAUAAACAUAAAACAAACUAAAAGAGAUGCUCAAUAAAUAUUGGUUGGGUAAAUUUUUGUAUGUAUUGUUUCCAAAAGUAAUAUGUUCAAAAAUUGCUUUCUUCUUGCUAUGGACUGAAUAGGUUUCCCACAAAACUCAUAUAUUGAAGCCCUAAUCCCCAGUAUCACUGUAUUUGGAAAUAGGAUUUUUAGGAUAUAAUUAAGGCUAAAUGAGGUUCAUAAGGGUAGGGUCCUAAUCUAAUAGGAUUGGAGACCUUAUAAAAUAGGAAGAGAAAUGUCUUACCCCUUUCUUCUUAGCUCAGAGGGCAUAUAAACCUCAGUUGCCUGGCGGGAAGCCUCAUGUGUUUCGAGUUCCUGUACAUACAAAUUAAUUUUUUUCUCUUGUUAAUCUAUUUUAUAUCAAUUUAAUUAUUAGACCAGCCAAAAAACCUAUAAAGAAGGAAAAAAUUUUCCUCUCCUACAAUUCUUAUAUGCUUACAAAGAACUGCUCUAGGUUCUCAGUUCUAAAACCAUAGAGCUGAUUCACAAACACUGGAAAUACUUGGAUGAUUGAUGGGGUUUAAUUACACCAUUAGAGCAAAAAGACAACUUGAAGCAAUAGUAGCUGAUGGCUGGUAGGCAACAGCUAGUCAGCGCAUGCAGCGGUCUGGGACAUGCUGAUUUAACAGGGUAGAAACCAGCAGGCACACUAUAUGCAGGGAGAUAGGCACCGCUCCAAAGAGCAAAAACACUCUGGAAAGAUGGCGUCAGAGUCUGUGCUGUAAGGAUGAAAAGUUGCUGGGCAUCCAAGAGGCCCUUGUUCCCACAUGGCAGAAAUUUCAAGCAGCAGGGUUAUUUUUAGAUUCAAAAAAGAAAAAAAGCCUGAAAGGCAUAAAUUGCAUACACAUUUAUUUUUAUUUGCUG